Molecule: long non-coding RNA, 1504 nt
Filed under: Gallus gallus (chicken)
Lineage: Eukaryota; Metazoa; Chordata; Aves; Galliformes; Phasianidae
Description: lncRNA (ENSGALG00010011373.1)
Source: RNAcentral
AACAAAAUGACAUUGAUUCUUCCAGCUUUGUUUCCCAGCAGAUGGAUUAAAGAGAAAAUAAAUCUAUAUUUAUAAACAUAGCCACAAAACUCACAUUAGGUUUUAAAAGUAAAGCAUCUCCUCUUCCUGAGACCCCAGCCAGAGCUGUUUCUAAGCUAUUACAUUUUAUUUCAUUACUACAGGCAACAGGAAAGCAUCUAGAAGUUCUCUAUGUUCUUCUCCAGACACCAGGGGGGAUAAAAAGCGCAGAAUUUGCACUCACCUUGAUAGAAACAAACGAAGACUAAUUGGUAAGUACCUACCAAGUAGCAAACCAUGGAAAACCAAAGCAGGCUCUAUUGAAAACACAUCAUGCCAUACAGGUUGAAUUCCCUUUGACAGGGUAACUGCAGGGAGAAACUGAUGACACAAACUGGAAUCUCUGACAUGUUUGAUCGGAGUAUCCAAUGGCUGGGCAGCGAGUUGUCUUUACUGCACUGGCUUUAUUCGUUUGGAGAAUGAAUUGCUGGACUACACAAGUCCGAGGGAUCUUUGGGAAUACUUCCAGCUCACGUGUAAUGGGACAAAGAAAAGGUUUUUCUAGUGAUUCCGCUCAUUUCUUGAAGAACAAGUUGAGGCUUCCUUAGAGCACUGAAGUCCAACAGUGGAAGAACAGCAUGACAUGGACCACAGCCCUGUGACAUUACAAGCGUGUAUUACAGCUGCCAGAUGGGCUCAGCUGACUCAUGCUCAGGAUCACUCCGACCAGCAGAUGUGAGGGUAACUUGCACAGAAGACAAGGGAAAUCACACUCGAGAACACAAGUGGUUCCACAGUUGCACGAGAACGGUUUUCCCCAUGCGCUUGAGGACUGACAUGUAAGGAAGUUUGAAAGAUUUACAGGAGAGGUGGCAGAUCCUGUGAACUCAAGCGUGAUCUACACCUGAAAAGUGAGAUUUAAAAAGACAACAUUUGAGUAAAGGGAAAUUGGUAUCUCAUGAAAGAAGACAAAAGCUAAAGAAGGAUCAAACUUAAGAAGAUACACAUGCGUAUUACAAAUAAGAUCGUAUUAUAAACCCUACAAAAGUUGAAGUAUAAGAAGUUGAGUACUUGGCUAAGUUCUGAUGAAGGAAAAUUGUUCAAUUUCAGUGCAGUAAUAUUCCCACGUUCUCCUACACAUAUAAUUAAGAGGGAAAAAAAGGGGAAAAAUAACUGCACUGGAAGCAAGAGUAAUAAGGAAGGUUGUUAAGCAUCACCUACAGAGAUAGAUAGUCAGAGGUCAAAGCAGCAGCAUCUCAGGAAGGUAUUACCACCAUAUUUCCUAGCUACUGAUGUUCAUUUAGAUUCAGACCGUUUUGCUAACUCUGAAGAAAUCCAGAUUCUGCCUCCUCUCCUUCUGUGACUCUGUCUUCUCUCAAACAUCUACAGUGUCCUUCAGUUGACUGCUUGCUUCUCAUUGCCCUUCAUUGCCUUUCAUGCAAUCCAACCCAAACACCACAAUGACUUCUAGGCAUGAAGAAUAAAC